This 221-nucleotide ribosomal RNA is filed under the name uncultured bacterium. RNAcentral describes it as "partial 16S ribosomal RNA". It matches the Rfam family "Bacterial small subunit ribosomal RNA", at positions 524 to 744 of the family's 1533-position model. The record is from RNAcentral.
UACGUAGGGCGCAAGCGUUGUCCGGAAUUAUUGGGCGUAAAGAGCUCGUAGGCGGUUUGUCGCGUCUGCUGUGAAAACCUAAGGCUCAACCUUGGGCUUGCAGUGGGUACGGGCAGACUAGAGUGCGGUAGGGGUGACUGGAAUUCCUGGUGUAGCGGUGGAAUGCGCAGAUAUCAGGAGGAACACCGAUGGCGAAGGCAGGUCACUGGGCCGCAACUGAC